This 497-nucleotide ribosomal RNA is filed under the name uncultured bacterium. RNAcentral's name for it is "partial 16S ribosomal RNA". It matches the Rfam family "Bacterial small subunit ribosomal RNA", at positions 28 to 507 of the family's 1533-position model. The record is from RNAcentral.
GAUGAACGCUGGCGGCGUGCCUAAUACAUGCAAGUCGAGCGAACGGACGAGAAGCUUGCUUCUCUGAUGUUAGCGGCGGACGGGUGAGUAACACGUGGAUAACCUACCUAUAAGGCUGGGAUAACUUCGGGAAACCGUAGCUAAUACCGGAUAAUAUUUUGAACCGCAUGGCUCAAAAGUGAAAGACGGUCUUGCUGUCACUUAUAGAUGGAUCCGCGCUGCAUUAGCUAGUUGGUAAGGUAACGGCUUACCAAGGCAACGAUGCAUAGCCGACCUGAGAGGGUGAUCGGCCACACUGGAACUGAGACACGGUCCAGACUCCUACGGGAGGCAGCAGUAGGGAAUCUUCCGCAAUGGGCGAAAGCCUGACGGAGCAACGCCGCGUGAGUGAUGAAGGUCUUCGGAUCGUAAAACUCUGUUAUUAGGGAAGAACAUAUGUGUAAGUAACUGUGCACAUCUUGACGGUACCUAAUCAGAAAGCCACGGCUAACUACGUG